UUAAUAAUAUUGUACAAGCAAAUAUUGACCAUAAAUUUACAACCAAACGAAAAACUAUGCAGGUCGCAACAAUGUCCAAAGUUGGAGACACCGAGAAUCCAUUCGCAGCUCUGCUGCAGGAUGGCACCCAGGCCAAUGGCGUGUCCAAGCAGCUGAUCGAAUCAAUUUUGCUUUUUACACUGAGCAAAGAUGCGGACACCAAGCGCAAUCGGCCUGUGCUCUGUCUGGCCGAUGUCGUUGUGGCCGACAAUAGCACCGAGGACACGCUCGGCGAGGAUCUGCUGGCGCAUGCCCUGUUCGAGCGCCUCAUGCUGGAGGAGACCACAAAAUACCUAAUGCCAUCUGGACAGGUCGAUCAAAGGCAAGAGGAGCAAGCCCUGGAGACGCGGGCCAUCAUUUAUCUGCACGGUGCAUUCACCAGAUGGGAGGAGAUACAGCGCACUGGCAGCCUACAGGACAAGGAACAUAGCAAUCGAAUUCUUGACUUGAUCCUAAACAAUGCUAGCACAUGCAUGCGCCAGCCGGAUCUAUUUGCACUCCAAACAUUCUCAGCGCAGUGGCUGGAGUUGUUUGAGGAGGCGGACGAGCAUGAUACCAGCACGCAGGAGUUUCUGAUUCGUGUGGCAGAAAAGGUGCUCGAAGAUGUUGAGCAACUGGAGGCGCUGGGCGCUCUCAAGGCCAUAUUCUACCCCAUGCUAAGUGAAUUGCAAAAGCAAUUGGUUAAAGAUAAUUUGAUUACAAUCAGAAAGAAUAUAUUCUGGAUUCUGGGCUUCUUUGUGCGCGAAAAACGCGCCGGCUUACUCGGCGAGUUGCUCAUUGACUUCACCACACCCAAUCCUAAGGCUAAAGGUGGUGAAUACAUGGAUACGCUUUUGGGGCAAUUGCUGUGCAUGUCCAUUAUGCCCAAGACUCAAACCGCGCCCUAUGAAUUCUUCCGCGACAUAUCGCUGAUCUCCCAGCAAUCGGAUCCCACACUCUGGCAGCUGCUGGCACAUCAUCAGCAGGCAAUGUUUACGCUGGUCAAACAACUGCUCGUACAAUCUUCCGCCACCAAGAAGAAGACGCUGCAGUGGAUAGCCAACUGUCUGGACGCGAAUGUGGCGCGUGGUCAUUUGUGGAGCACCAUUAACUUGAAUCUGGAGCAGACGGUGCACAGCACCGCCAGUGAUGCAUUUAUGACCAGCCUCAGCGCCGUGCUGAUGCGUCUGUGUGCGCCGCUCUGCGCGCCCGCCUUAAAGGUGCUGCUGGUAGAUCCCACAUACUGUGCGGUGGCGGACCCGUUGGAACGCCAAUCGAAGGGCGUUAACAUGCUGAAGGCGUUUGAGGAGACAUGCCUACUGCCCACCGAGGAAGGGGAACAGCGCUUGACAGCGGCUAAGUACAAUUUUAUCACCGAGAUCUUCUAUUUGGCGCACAAGGCGUUCGAGCUGGGCAAUCGGGCGUGCAUUGAGCGCUUGACGCGCAUGAUGCGUGAGCUGCAGAACACACAGACCGCCUACCAGGAUGUGGCGGCUAGCGAUCCGAACAACGAUCUAACCAAGAAUCUGUUUCGCAUGCUGCAGGAUCAGAUGCAACAGGUGCUCUGCAUAAGAAAUGGCCUGGCCGAGCCUGAAAAUGAUACCGCCAUCCUCAAGUUCUUUGAGGCCUCCGCCAUUUGGCUCACUGAGAUAGCGAUGCUGCCGCGCGAAUCCUACGAGGCGGGACUGGACAAAAAGGACUUUGCGCCACAGCUGUUGCGCGAUCUGGAGCUGUUGUCGGAAACACCGCCCUUUGUGGCGCCAUACAUGAAAUCGGUGCCGGAGAAUAUUAUCGACAACAUUGCGGCCUAUUUGAAUUUCUGUCGCAGCUUUCCCGGCGAUCAGUAUAUACAAAUGUACACCAGCUCGCACGAUGCUUUCUUCAAGAUGAUACUAUUGUUCAUGGGCAGCUCGGGACUGGUCAAGAAUCCGCAUUUGCGCGCCAAAUUGGCUGACGCUCUAGAGUUUCUGCUGCCCACACAAAUCUCUGGCAGCAAUCGCAAGGCAUUCCAUACACACGUCUUUGAUAGUCACACAGAUCGGUUGCAGGUGGUGCGCAGUCUGCUCAACGUGUUCGUCAGCAUCGAAAUGACCGGUCAGUCGGUGCAGUUUGAGCAGAAGUUCAACUAUCGCCGUCCCAUGUACGCGAUCAUGGAGUUUCUGUGGACCAAGGAGGAGCAUGUGGAGUGCUUUAGGCAGCUGGCGCAGGACGCCGAACGCAACAUGGAGGCCAUUGAGCCGCCAAUAUUUUUGCGCUUCAUCAAUCUGCUCAUCAACGAUGCCAUCUUCCUGCUGGACGAAUCGCUCUCCAAUCUGGAACAAAUCAAACAGCUGCAGCAGGCUCAAGACAACGGCGAAUGGAAUAAUCUGUCGCACAGCGAGCGUCAACAGCAGACCACCAAUCUGCAUCAUUUGGGCAUGUUGGCACGCUUCGAUAAUAUACUGGGCCGUGACACCAUCAAUCUGCUAAAGCUGCUGACCAGCGAGAUCAAGAGCAUCUUCUGCCAUAACAGCAUGGUCGAUCGCAUUGCGGCCAUGCUCAACUAUUUUCUAUUGCAUUUGGUGGGGCCGCAGCGAGAACGCUUCAAGGUGAAGGACAAAAAGGAGUUCGAGUUUGAUCCGGCGCAAAUGGUGCUGGAGAUAGCGCACAUCUACAUAAAUCUAAGUACGGACAAUUCGUUCUGCCUGGCCGUAUCCCAGGAUGGACGCUCCUACAGCGAUCAGCUAUUCGGCUAUGCCGAGAAUAUAUUGAUACGUAUCGGUGGUGGUCAGCUAAUUGGCGACAUGGCCGAGUUUGCAGCCAAGGUGCAGAAAAUGGGCGAUGACUACAAGGAGGAGCAAGAGCUGCUAGCCGAUGCGCCCGAAGAGUAUCUGGAUCCGAUUAUAUCAACGCUCAUGACCGAUCCCGUGGUGCUGCCCAGCUCGAACGUGACCGUUGAUCGUUCCACAAUUGCUCGCCACCUGCUCAGCGAUCAGACAGAUCCAUUCAAUCGCGAACCCCUCACCAUGGACAAGGUCAAAUCGAAUGAGGCGCUCAAGCUGGAGAUUGAGCAAUGGAUCGAGGGCAAACGCAGUGCGGCGCGUGUCAAGAGCUGAGCAACCAAACCCGGCUAGGACACGCGCAUAACCAAAGAAUUAGCUCGUCGUGGGGGUAACCGGAUAAGGCUUUAGUUUAAUAUCAGUUUAUCCUUAUAUAAUUCCAGUUUAUGUACAAUAUGUAGGUACAUAAAUAACCUUUGCAAUUUUCCAAUUAAUGGUUGAGUUGGGACUCCAGUUUGUGUACACGCAAGAUGAAGUUUUACUUGUACUUGUUUCUGGAGCAACAAUAUGAUAUAGUAUGACGAUCUUGACAGAACUUGGAACUUAUGGAUGGAGUAGGUGUUGAUGGAGCAAAGGGAAGCUGUCUAUGAAGACAGAAAAGAAAACCUAUGGAUCCUACAGCAGGCAGAUGAUAUAGCCAUAGGUCAGGCUUACAAUUAAAAGCUUUUAGAGACUCAACGCCAAAGUAU
This 3526-nucleotide unclassified non-coding RNA is filed under the name Drosophila virilis. Its description in RNAcentral is "GJ17555". Lineage: Eukaryota; Metazoa; Arthropoda; Insecta; Diptera; Drosophilidae. The record is from RNAcentral.